Molecule: transfer RNA, 72 nt
Organism: Ovis aries (sheep)
Lineage: Eukaryota; Metazoa; Chordata; Mammalia; Artiodactyla; Bovidae
Rfam family: tRNA
About the family: Transfer RNA (tRNA) molecules are approximately 80 nucleotides in length. Their secondary structure includes four short double-helical elements and three loops (D, anti-codon, and T loops).
Source: Rfam
UCCCCGGUGGUCCAGUGGUUAGGACUCUGUGCUUCCACUGCAGGGACCCAAGUUUGCUCCCUGGUCAGGGAA